Molecule: long non-coding RNA, 3095 nt
Organism: Oncorhynchus keta (chum salmon)
Lineage: Eukaryota; Metazoa; Chordata; Actinopteri; Salmoniformes; Salmonidae
Exons: 3
Source: RefSeq, a predicted model, not a curated record
CAGAUAGAUGGAGAGAGCUACACCACCCUCAGAUAGAGGGAGAGAGAGAGCUACACCACUCCCAGAUAGAGGGAGAGAGAGAGCUACACCACUCCCAGAUAGAGGGAGAGAGAGAGCUACACCACUCCCAGAUAGAGAGCUACACCACUCCCAGAUAGAGGGAGAGAGAGAGCUGCACCACUCCCGGAUAGAUGGAGAGAGCUACACCACCCUCAGAUAGAGGGAGAGAGAGAGCUACACCACUCCCAGAUAGAGGGAGAGAGAGAGCUACACCACUCCCAGAUAGAAGGAGAGAGAGAGCUACACCACUCCCAGAUAGAGGGGGAGAAAGAGCUACACCACUCCCAGAUAGCGAGAGAGCGCUACACCACUCCCAGAUAGAGGGAGAGAGAGAGCUACACCACUCCCAGAUAGCGAGAGAGAGAGCUACAGGAGCUGUGAAUGAGUGCGGGAGUGUAGGGGGAAAAAAAAUUACACUCGAGCUGUACCCCCAGCCAAUGGAAAACAAGAGAAAAUGGCGCCAAAAAUAGCAUUGUUUUUCUGCCACCUGCAGUAGAGGCAGUAACAGUAUGGAGAGAUAGUCCAGGUCUAGUCUGUAGUAGAAUCCUCAGAGAGAAAGGAACAAAUGUAGGCAGAAACACGAACGAUGAAGAUAAUCUCUUCUUCAGAGGAUCAGCGGUAGUAUGCAAUGUCCCCUAGUGUGCCUCACACACACACAGCCGCGGACACAGACACACACACCGCAACAAACACAGACUGCAGCAUUUGGGACCAAUAGGCGUUAGAGGUUCUCUUUCACACAAACACACGGUUAGACAAAGCACAGCCUCGGCAUCUCUGUGUAUCUCACAUUGGUUCUUUCGAUAGUACUGUGAAGAAAACACACAGAGAGAUGCUGCUAGGGAGGGAGGAGGGAGGAGUGUGCGCAGAGCGGCAAGUGGGAGGGACAUGAGAAUAACAUCUCGCUCUCCUUCACUCCCAGGGUGAACAUGUGAGGGGGAGGAUGGACACAUGGAUGGAGGGAAGAGAAGGAGAAGAGAAGGUGGGAGGAUGCAGAUGGUUCAUACCGAGGUUCUAACUGAUGGGAGAGCAGAGAUAAAGGAGAGAAGAGAAGGUGGGAGGAUGCAGAUGGUUCAUACCGAGGUUCUAACUGAUGGGAGAGCAGAGAUAAAGGAGAGAAGAGAAGGUGGGAGGAUGCAGAUGGUUCAUACCGAGGUUCUAACUGAUGGGAGAGCAGAGAUAAAGGAGAGAAGAGAAGGUGGGAGGAUGCAGAUGGUUCAUACCGAGGUUCUAACUGAUGGGAGAGCAGAGAUAAAGGAGAGAAGAGAAGGUGGGAGGAUGCAGAUGGUUCAUACCGAGGUUCUAACUGAUGGGAGAGCAGAGAUAAAGGAGAGAAGAGAAGGUGGGAGGAUGCAGAUGGUUCAUACCGAGGUUCUAACUGAUGGGAGAGCAGAGAUAAAGGAGAGAAGAGAAGGUGGGAGGAUGCAGAUGGUUCAUACCGAGGUUCUAACUGAUGGGAGAGCAGAGAUAAAGGAGAGAAGAGAAGGUGGGAGGAUGCAGAUGGUUCAUACCGAGGUUCUAACUGACGGGAGAGCAGAGAUAAAGGAGAGAAGAAAAAUGUGGAUCCUUGAAAGCAGGAGGCCACACCCCUCUCCCAUCACUCCCCUCUCUCCACCCCUCUCCCAUCACUCCCCUCUCUCCACCCCUCUCCCAUCACUCCCCUCUCUCUUUCUAUUCCUUCUAUCUCCAUCUCUCCCUCUGUGGCAGGUGCUGUGUUAAGCCUAUUCAGUGGGAGGGUGGCGUCUGUGAAAGGGAUGCAUUUGUCACACAUAAAACAAACACAAGCGCCUCAGAAUACUGAUGAGUGACACUGUUCUACAGGGUGACUGUACAGACAGCCUGUGAAUGGCUGUCCAUUUCCAUCCUUCAGCUGCUCUUUUCACCGUCUGGAGAAUCAGCGUGGAAUACACACCACAGGGGGUAUAUGGAUGAUGAGGCACAGAUAAACACUGGACCAUAGAGAUGGCUGGGAUUCAAUGCCACUGACAUUCUGUUGGGGGUUUAUGAAUUUAAUUAAUGCCAAUAGAUAGUGAUGUCCCAACAACACCUAAUCAAUAAUGACAAGAUACGCAUUGGAGCACAUUGGAGGGUGUGGUAGUGAAUGGGGCAUAUGAUCAAAUGUGAGUCAGGGGGUGUCAGUCACAUGAUGGCACUUCCUACUCUUCCCCCUGUUAUGAUGUGGAGGGGAAGGUUAGUGUUAGGACAUAGACAAAGACACUCUCCAGGAUACACUUCCACACUCCACCACCAGAGGGAAGCAACCAGGUCUAGGUGCUGAGCCAAGGCUUGAUAAGCACAUCAGGUACUUACAAUUAAGGUGAUGUCACAGUGGCAGCUUGGGGAACCAACUGGUUUUGUUUGAGGGCUUUCGUUAGUUUUUUGAGUCUUUAGUUUGGGAAGGCCUUUUCUUUUUUGUACAUAUUUAUGUUUCAGCACCAUCUGAAGAAAUAAUCAUUUGCUUGGACUCGCCGACCCAGACGUCAAGAGAGACAGUGCUGGCCCUGGACCAAGGUAAGGUUGCUCUCUCCCUGGGCACAGUACAUUCAACAUUGAGGUGCAUAUGCUGAUUUCUCACAAAUGCACACAUUCAUUCAGGUUACAAACCAUGUAACUAUGUAACUAAGACCCCUAGACAUAAUGAGUCAGGUUACAGACCAUGUUACGAGGCCAAAGACCCCUAGACUUAACCAAUGCAACAAUAUUAGUAGGCUAGUUAAUGGGUUUGUAACAGCCCUCUCCCCUCCACAUCCCCCUCUCCUCUGAGGCAGCCGUGGUUUACAGGGACAAGGUCACUCCAGAGAGAAAUCUGUCUGUCUGUGAGUGAGUGAGUGAGUGAGUGAGUGAGUGAGUGAGUGAGUGAGUGAGAGAUGCGAGAUAGACGGCAGUUGGGUAUGGCCAUUCCCGAGCUCAACACCAACAAUUUAAAAUGGGUACUAAUAUCCUUCCAAUUCCUUUUAAAAGGCUAAUUCACUUUAGCGGUAUUAGUGGUCUCAGGGCCACCGGAACAUCUGUUGCAAGUCGGCAUUUCAUUUUCA